RNAcentral lists this ribosomal RNA (669 nucleotides) under uncultured bacterium. RNAcentral describes it as "bacterial SSU rRNA". It matches the Rfam family "Bacterial small subunit ribosomal RNA", at positions 848 to 1530 of the family's 1533-position model. The record is from RNAcentral.
GAGCUAACGCACGAGGCCAACCGCCUGGGGACUACGGCCGCAAGGUUAAAACUCAAAGGAAUUGACGGGGACCCGCACAAGCAGCGGAGCGUGUGGUUUAAUUCGAGGCUACGCGCAGAACCUUACCAGGGAUUGACAUGGCUGUGGUAGUGAAGCGAAAGCGGAACGACCCUUCGGGGAGCAGUCACAGGUGAUGCAUGGCUGUCGUCAGCUCGUGCCGUGAGGUGUUUGGUUAAGUCCACUAACGAGCGCAACCCUUAGCCCCAGUUAUACGUGUCUGAGGCGACUGCCGGUAUUAAGCCGGAGGAAGGUGGGGAUGACGUCAAGUCCGCAUGUCCUUUAUACCCUGGGCUACACACACGCUACAAUGGCCAGUACAAUGGGUCGCCAAGCCGCGAGGCGGAGCCAAUCCUAAAAAGCUGGUCUCAGUUCGGAUUGCAGGCUGCAACCCGCCUGCAUGAAGUCGGAGUUGCUAGUAACCGCAGGACAGCUAUACUGCGGUGAAUACGUUCCCGGGUCUUGUACACACCGCCCGUCACGUCAUGGGAGCUGGCAACACCUGAAGCCGGUGGGCGAACCGCAAGGACGCAGCCGUCGAAGGUGGGGUCGGUGACUGGGACGAAGUCGUAACAAGGUAGCUGUAGCGGAAGCUGCGGCUGGAUCACCUCC